AAAGUAUGGGUAGCAAACKGGAUUAGAUACCCCGGUAGUCCAUACCGUAAACGAUGGGUGCUAGUUGUUAAGAGGUUUCCGCCUCCUAGUGACGUAGCAAACGCAUUAAGCACCCCGCCUGAGGAGUACGGCCGCAAGGCUAAAACUUAAAGGAAUUGACGGGGACCCGCACAAGCGGUGGAGCAUGUGGUUUAAUUCGAAGAUACGCGAAAAACCUUACCAGGUCUUGACAUACCAAUGAUCGCUUUUGUAAUGAAAGCUUUUCUUCGGAACAUUGGAUACAGGUGGUGCAUGGUCGUCGUCAGCUCGUGUCGUGAGAUGUUGGGUUAAGUCCCGCAACGAGCGCAACCCUUGUUAUUAGUUGCCAGCAUUUAGUUGGGCACUCUAAUGAGACUGCCGGUGAUAAACCGGAGGAAGGUGGGGACGACGUCAGAUCAUCAUGCCCCUUAUGACCUGGGCAACACACGUGCUACAAUGGGAAGUACAACGAGUCGCAAACCGGCGACGGUAAGCUAAUCUCUUAAAACUUCUCUCAGUUCGGACUGGAGUCUGCAACUCGACUCCACGAAGGCGGAAUCGCUAGUAAUCGCGAAUCAGCAUGUCGCGGUGAAUACGUUCCCGGGUCUUGUACACACCGCCCGUCAAAUCAUGGGAGUCGGAAGUACCCAAAGUCGCUUGGCUAACUUUUAGAGGCCGGUGCCU
RNAcentral lists this ribosomal RNA (702 nucleotides) under Oenococcus oeni. RNAcentral describes it as "bacterial SSU rRNA". It matches the Rfam family "Bacterial small subunit ribosomal RNA", at positions 756 to 1458 of the family's 1533-position model. The record is from RNAcentral. Lineage: Bacteria; Bacillati; Bacillota; Bacilli; Lactobacillales; Lactobacillaceae.